RNAcentral lists this unclassified non-coding RNA (475 nucleotides) under Hevea brasiliensis (rubber tree). Lineage: Eukaryota; Viridiplantae; Streptophyta; Magnoliopsida; Malpighiales; Euphorbiaceae. The record is from RNAcentral.
AUGCUAUAUAAUCCUCCAACAAAUUAUGUCCACCAAGUGGCAGAGUCACUGAAUAAGAUUUUUGAGACUAAGUGGAAGUCACUACAGGAAAAAUGGAAUCAUGAAAUAUCAGAGUCUGGUGGUGGAAAAAUUUUGAGCAGGAAGCCAAAGGAAAUUAGUGCCACAAGACAGAAUUGUCCUGAAACAUCCCGUUUGCGCAAUGUUCUUUUACCCAAGAUGUCAAAACCAUCUGAAUACAAGGCAAUGAGGAGUUCUUCAAAUGCAAAAGCUGCAGAAGUAAAGCUUUUUAAGCCUGCAGAAAACUGCAUGCACAAGGCAUUACUGCUAAAUUCUUGCAAAGGUAUGAAGUUGCGGAACACAGUUUCUGCUUAUGGCUCUUUAUUGGAGCUAAUCUGCAGUGUCUGCUUUAUGGGUCUUUAUUGGAGCUAAACAGCAGUGUGUCUUAUAGGCACUAGUGGUGGCAAAUGUGCUUGUU